GGUAGUUUGACUGGGGCGGUCUCCUCCUAAAGAGUAACGGAGGAGCACGAAGGUUGGCUAAUCCUGGUCGGACAUCAGGAGGUUAGUGCAAUGGCAUAAGCCAGCUUGACUGCGAGCGUGACGGCGCGAGCAGGUGCGAAAGCAGGUCAUAGUGAUCCGGUGGUUCUGAAUGGAAGGGCCAUCGCUCAACGGAUAAAAGGUACUCCGGGGAUAACAGGCUGAUACCGCCCAAGAGUUCAUAUCGACGGCGGUGUUUGGCACCUCGAUGUCGGCUCAUCACAUCCUGGGGCUGAAGUAGGUCCCAAGGGUAUGGCUGUUCGCCAUUUAAAGUGGUACGCGAGCUGGGUUUAGAACGUCGUGAGACAGUUCGGUCCCUAUCUGCCGUGGGCGCUGGAGAACUGAGGGGGGCUGCUCCUAGUACGAGAGGACCGGAGUGGACGCAUCACUGGUGUUCGGGUUGUCAUGCCAAUGGCACUGCCCGGUAGCUAAAUGCGGAAGAGAUAAGUGCUGAAAGCAUCUAAGCACGAAACUUGCCCCGAGAUGAGUUCUCCCUGACUCCUUGAGAGUCCUGAAGGAACGUUGAAGACGACGACGUUGAUAGGCCGGGUGUGUAAGCGCAGCGAUGCGUUGAGCUAACCGGUACUAAUGAACCGUGAGGCUUAACCUU
This 667-nucleotide ribosomal RNA is filed under the name Escherichia coli. RNAcentral describes it as "partial 23S ribosomal RNA". It matches the Rfam family "Bacterial large subunit ribosomal RNA", at positions 2264 to 2925 of the family's 2925-position model. Lineage: Bacteria; Pseudomonadati; Pseudomonadota; Gammaproteobacteria; Enterobacterales; Enterobacteriaceae. The record is from RNAcentral.